GCCGUUGCUGAUGCAUUUGCGACAGAGAUUGCCACGUCGGCGGAGCUACCGAAAGCACCGGUGGACAAGCACUGCAGGAGUCGAGUACCGGGCCUUGCGGUGCCGGCGAACGUGCUACCGGUGGACAAGCACUGCAGGAGUCGAGUACCGGGCCUUGCGGUGCCGGCGGUCGUGCUACCGGUGGACAAGCACUGCAGGAGUCGAGUACCGGGCCUUGCGGUGCCGGCGAACGUGCUACCGGUCGACAAGCACUGCAGGAGUCGAGUACCGGGCCUUCGGUGCCGGCGAACGUGCUCCUUGUAGUGUGCGGUCUGACGGCGGUCGGCCUUGUCCUGAAGAAGGGCUUUCGUCCCAGAGCAUCGAUGCCUACCGUGGUCGACAGUUGGGCGGCUUGUAGCGAAGGAUGUGUCUACAGAACAAGCCCUCGGCGAGUGCUCUGGCUGAGAGGGAGCGCCACGCCGUGCAAAGGGGAAGAAGGCCGAGCGGCAAUACCAUGAAAAACGUUUAGAAACAACCGGCUGAUCACAGCGCGGGCGUCGAUCACUUCAAACCUGCAGGCACAAACAUAAGCCGAACGAAGACCGGAUCUACCACUCGAGUCUCCGUAUCCAAGACAGAGACAAAUAGUGGAGCACACGGGAGUACCAUACGAUACAAUUCUCCAGUGCUGAAAGAUCAACGGUAAAAAGUUGACAUGACAAAAACACCAGCUCGCCACAAACAGGAAUACAGCAGCCUCCACAACAAGAGCACUAGUAUAGUAUUUCUUUUCAACGAGGCAACAGAGCACCAGUAUUGGUCGUAGAAAUGCAAGACGGUGAGUUUCCACGAACGAGAGCCCAGCCCAGGGGAUGCACGCACAGUUUACACACUCCAUUACAAUCCUCCCAUGGAGGAGGAAGAAGAAGACAUUGCCAAAGAUGUAUAGUUGCCCUACACGGCCUAACACCCGCCUAGCUAGCUAGAUACCUCCGCCGCGCACCGCCGUCGCCGCCGGUGAACCUGAGAGGUAAAGCGCAGCACGAGCUGCAUGCCGGCAGUGGCUAGCAUCAAGCCAUUGUUGGGGGGUAUAUACCUGGGAGGAGCUCCUCCCAGGCGAAGGAGUCCUCCAUGGGAGAUGCCGGGUCAGGCUCCAUAUAUAGAAGCGCACGCACGAGGUUUCGAUCGACCAGCGAGUGGAAGCUCCGGUGGCUCGGUGACCUAAGUGAGGCAUCUUCCCUGGCAUAUUCUUGAGCAUAUGAGAACUUCUGCUUUACUUGCC
This 1261-nucleotide ribosomal RNA is filed under the name Triticum aestivum (bread wheat). RNAcentral describes it as "partial small subunit ribosomal RNA". The record is from RNAcentral. Lineage: Eukaryota; Viridiplantae; Streptophyta; Magnoliopsida; Poales; Poaceae.